Molecule: long non-coding RNA, 1359 nt
Organism: Lathyrus oleraceus (garden pea)
Lineage: Eukaryota; Viridiplantae; Streptophyta; Magnoliopsida; Fabales; Fabaceae
Exons: 2
Source: RefSeq, a predicted model, not a curated record
UAUACCCUAGCCCAACUGCUUGACCUAAGUAGACGAAAAGUCUCGAUGAGACGUCCCUGUCAUCGAGAACAUGCGUAUUAAAUGCCUUUCUUAUAAUAUGUAACAUUUCGUAGGGAAUCUUUGACUUGUGUCCAUAAGCUAGUGAGUAAUGAUGCUUCCUCCAGCUCAGGGAACUCGAGUACUUGAGCAAUGAUGCUUUCUUAUAAUAUGUCUUUGAAGAUAUUCUCCAAGUUCUGGUAGCAAAGCCAUUUCUUGUCAGAAUCAGAGUCUUAUGUUUAUAGGUUGGAAGAUUUGUCUCAAGAAGAAAUUUUCCUGAAGAGGAAGCUGAUGCCCUUCUCAAAGCUCUAGGUUACGUCAUGGGUGUUAUCCCUUCUGGUGCAAUGUGGAAGAAGAAAUUAAACAAGCUGAUGCCCUUCUCAAAGCUCUAGGUUACGUCAUGGGUGUUAUCCCUUCUGGUGCAAUGUGGAAGAAGAAAUUAAACAGACUCAUAGAGACACGCCUGUUGGUGGAAGUCGGGUCGAAAGAGGCCAGGAGGUCAUUUUUGAUGCAAUGUGAGAAAACAAUGCAACAAAUGAGGAGGACUCCAGGAGUUACCCCUCUCCUAGCCCGUGCUACCAAUAUUCUGACCACUAGAAGGGUUUCAACAAUUAAGGUCCAUACUAUUUUGGGUACUCGGGAUACACUUACUCCUAUAUAGGUGAAAGUCUGGGAUUCAUCUGACCGAGUUAUAGUGGAGGAUGCUCCGUGUUUAUCAUGACCCAACGAUGGAGGAACCCUAGAUCUUAGUCCUAAGCUUGAAAAGCUUCUCUCACCAAGUGUCUCCGACUUCUAAAGUGGGAUUUAAGGAGUCCAAGCUCCACGAAGAAUUAUGCAUCGGUCCUAACCGAGUUUGCCUCCUAUGAUGCAGGUCCGCCUUAGUCAAGGAUAGCUAGGGAGUUUCGGUCUUUCACCUCUAAAGAAGAGGCCACUCUUGUUGAAGCAAACUGGGCACUAGAUCCUUCCCAAAAAAGUGUGGAAGAGCUUGAAGAAUCUUUGAAGGAGUCUCAAGAAGGUCGGGAGAAGGAUGAAGAUGACCUUCGUGAGAUGCGUCUUGAGAAUCUUUCUUUGUUUAAGGAGUACGCAAAGUCAUUGGAUGAGAGUUACUCUAUUGCACAUAAUUCUUUUGAAUUUUUUUAGAGCAGGUGAAAUAUUUUUAUCCCACCGGGCCUAUCUCACGAGAACUAGUCCGUUCUGACUAAAUGAUGGAGGAUGGAAAGUCGAUUUCCUUGGCGGAUGAGCCAAUUUGUUUUAUUUGUUACAACGCUUGUACCUAGUGUAUUUGUAUCUUUAAUGAAUAAGAAAAAUUUAUGAUUCCUGUUU